ACUAUGCCUAGUCGUAAACUUUAACUCACCUCUCCAUCGCCCGGGAACUACGAGCUAAGCUUAAAACCCAAAGGACUUGACGGUACCCCAUAUCCCCCUAGAGGAGCCUGUCCUAUAAUCGAUAACCCCCGCUUAACCUCACCAUUUUUUGCUAAUCAGCCUGUAUACCUCCGUCGUCAGCUUACCACGUGAGCGUUAGUGAGCCUAAUGUUUUUCCAACUAUACGUCAGGUCAAGGUGCAACAUAUAAAAUGGAAAGAGAUGGGCUACACUUUCUAUAAUAGAAUAAACGAAAGACUUAAUGAAACCUAGUCAGAAGGCGGAUUUAGAAGUAAAGUGAAACUAGAGUGUUCACCUAAAUGCGGCACUGGGGUGUGUACACACCGCCCGUCACCCUCCUCAGCUCUGCAUAAAAGUUUUUAACACCUUUUUAGAGACUCAGAAGAGGCAAGUCGUAACACGGUAAG
Molecule: ribosomal RNA, 466 nt
Filed under: Ameerega hahneli
Lineage: Eukaryota; Metazoa; Chordata; Amphibia; Anura; Dendrobatidae
Description: partial 12S ribosomal RNA
Rfam family: Bacterial small subunit ribosomal RNA
Source: RNAcentral